RNAcentral lists this ribosomal RNA (2890 nucleotides) under Pseudomonas aeruginosa. RNAcentral describes it as "bacterial LSU rRNA". It matches the Rfam family "Bacterial large subunit ribosomal RNA". RNAcentral also lists the same sequence under 1 other name. The record is from RNAcentral. Lineage: Bacteria; Pseudomonadati; Pseudomonadota; Gammaproteobacteria; Pseudomonadales; Pseudomonadaceae.
UCAAGUGAAGAAGCGCAUACGGUGGAUGCCUUGGCAGUCAGAGGCGAUGAAAGACGUGGUAGCCUGCGAAAAGCUUCGGGGAGUCGGCAAACAGACUUUGAUCCGGAGAUCUCUGAAUGGGGGAACCCACCUAGGAUAACCUAGGUAUCUUGUACUGAAUCCAUAGGUGCAAGAGGCGAACCAGGGGAACUGAAACAUCUAAGUACCCUGAGGAAAAGAAAUCAACCGAGAUUCCCUUAGUAGUGGCGAGCGAACGGGGAUUAGCCCUUAAGCUUCAUUGAUUUUAGCGGAACGCUCUGGAAAGUGCGGCCAUAGUGGGUGAUAGCCCCGUACGCGAAAGGAUCUUUGAAGUGAAAUCGAGUAGGACGGAGCACGAGAAACUUUGUCUGAACAUGGGGGGACCAUCCUCCAAGGCUAAAUACUACUGACUGACCGAUAGUGAACCAGUACCGUGAGGGAAAGGCGAAAAGAACCCCGGAGAGGGGAGUGAAAUAGAACCUGAAACCGUAUGCGUACAAGCAGUGGGAGCCUACUUGCUUAGGUGACUGCGUACCUUUUGUAUAAUGGGUCAGCGACUUAUAUUCAGUGGCAAGCUUAACCGUAUAGGGUAGGCGUAGCGAAAGCGAGUCUUAAUAGGGCGUUUAGUCGCUGGGUAUAGACCCGAAACCGGGCGAUCUAUCCAUGAGCAGGUUGAAGGUUAGGUAACACUGACUGGAGGACCGAACCCACUCCCGUUGAAAAGGUAGGGGAUGACUUGUGGAUCGGAGUGAAAGGCUAAUCAAGCUCGGAGAUAGCUGGUUCUCCUCGAAAGCUAUUUAGGUAGCGCCUCAUGUAUCACUCUGGGGGGUAGAGCACUGUUUCGGCUAGGGGGUCAUCCCGACUUACCAAACCGAUGCAAACUCCGAAUACCCAGAAGUGCCGAGCAUGGGAGACACACGGCGGGUGCUAACGUCCGUCGUGAAAAGGGAAACAACCCAGACCGCCAGCUAAGGUCCCAAAGUUGUGGUUAAGUGGUAAACGAUGUGGGAAGGCUUAGACAGCUAGGAGGUUGGCUUAGAAGCAGCCAUCCUUUAAAGAAAGCGUAAUAGCUCACUAGUCGAGUCGGCCUGCGCGGAAGAUGUAACGGGGCUCAAACCACACACCGAAGCUGCGGGUGUCACGUAAGUGACGCGGUAGAGGAGCGUUCUGUAAGCCUGUGAAGGUGAGUUGAGAAGCUUGCUGGAGGUAUCAGAAGUGCGAAUGCUGACAUGAGUAACGACAAUGGGUGUGAAAAACACCCACGCCGAAAGACCAAGGGUUCCUGCGCAACGUUAAUCGACGCAGGGUUAGUCGGUUCCUAAGGCGAGGCUGAAAAGCGUAGUCGAUGGGAAACAGGUUAAUAUUCCUGUACUUCUGGUUACUGCGAUGGAGGGACGGAGAAGGCUAGGCCAGCUUGGCGUUGGUUGUCCAAGUUUAAGGUGGUAGGCUGAAAUCUUAGGUAAAUCCGGGGUUUCAAGGCCGAGAGCUGAUGACGAGUCGUCUUUUAGAUGACGAAGUGGUUGAUGCCAUGCUUCCAAGAAAAGCUUCUAAGCUUCAGGUAACCAGGAACCGUACCCCAAACCGACACAGGUGGUCGGGUAGAGAAUACCAAGGCGCUUGAGAGAACUCGGGUGAAGGAACUAGGCAAAAUGGCACCGUAACUUCGGGAGAAGGUGCGCCGGCUAGGGUGAAGGAUUUACUCCGUAAGCUCUGGCUGGUCGAAGAUACCAGGCCGCUGCGACUGUUUAUUAAAAACACAGCACUCUGCAAACACGAAAGUGGACGUAUAGGGUGUGACGCCUGCCCGGUGCCGGAAGGUUAAUUGAUGGGGUUAGCGCAAGCGAAGCUCUUGAUCGAAGCCCCGGUAAACGGCGGCCGUAACUAUAACGGUCCUAAGGUAGCGAAAUUCCUUGUCGGGUAAGUUCCGACCUGCACGAAUGGCGUAACGAUGGCGGCGCUGUCUCCACCCGAGACUCAGUGAAAUUGAAAUCGCUGUGAAGAUGCAGUGUAUCCGCGGCUAGACGGAAAGACCCCGUGAACCUUUACUGUAGCUUUGCACUGGACUUUGAGCCUGCUUGUGUAGGAUAGGUGGGAGGCUUUGAAGCGUGGACGCCAGUUCGCGUGGAGCCAUCCUUGAAAUACCACCCUGGCAUGCUUGAGGUUCUAACUCUGGUCCGUGAUCCGGAUCGAGGACAGUGUAUGGUGGGCAGUUUGACUGGGGCGGUCUCCUCCUAAAGAGUAACGGAGGAGUACGAAGGUGCGCUCAGACCGGUCGGAAAUCGGUCGCAGAGUAUAAAGGCAAAAGCGCGCUUGACUGCGAGACAGACACGUCGAGCAGGUACGAAAGUAGGUCUUAGUGAUCCGGUGGUUCUGUAUGGAAGGGCCAUCGCUCAACGGAUAAAAGGUACUCCGGGGAUAACAGGCUGAUACCGCCCAAGAGUUCAUAUCGACGGCGGUGUUUGGCACCUCGAUGUCGGCUCAUCACAUCCUGGGGCUGAAGCCGGUCCCAAGGGUAUGGCUGUUCGCCAUUUAAAGUGGUACGCGAGCUGGGUUUAGAACGUCGUGAGACAGUUCGGUCCCUAUCUGCCGUGGACGUUUGAGAUUUGAGAGGGGCUGCUCCUAGUACGAGAGGACCGGAGUGGACGAACCUCUGGUGUUCCGGUUGUCACGCCAGUGGCAUUGCCGGGUAGCUAUGUUCGGAAAAGAUAACCGCUGAAAGCAUCUAAGCGGGAAACUUGCCUCAAGAUGAGAUCUCACUGGGAACUUGAUUCCCCUGAAGGGCCGUCGAAGACUACGACGUUGAUAGGCUGGGUGUGUAAGCGUUGUGAGGCGUUGAGCUAACCAGUACUAAUUGCCCGUGAGGCUUGACCAU